RNAcentral lists this transfer RNA (73 nucleotides) under Ulva intestinalis (hollow green seaweed). RNAcentral describes it as "tRNA-Trp". It matches the Rfam family "tRNA". From Rfam's summary of the family: Transfer RNA (tRNA) molecules are approximately 80 nucleotides in length. Their secondary structure includes four short double-helical elements and three loops (D, anti-codon, and T loops). Further hydrogen bonds mediate the characteristic L-shaped molecular structure. tRNAs have two regions of fundamental functional importance: the anti-codon, which is responsible for specific mRNA codon recognition, and the 3' end, to which the tRNAs corresponding amino acid is attached (by aminoacyl-tRNA synthetases). tRNAs cope with the degeneracy of the genetic code in two manners: having more than one tRNA (with a specific anti-codon) for a particular amino acid; and 'wobble' base-pairing, i.e. permitting non-standard base-pairing at the 3rd anti-codon position. Lineage: Eukaryota; Viridiplantae; Chlorophyta; Ulvophyceae; Ulvales; Ulvaceae. The record is from RNAcentral. RNAcentral also lists the same sequence under 21 other names.
ACGUCUUUAGUUCAGUUGGUAGAACAUUGGUUUCCAAAACCAAGGGUCGUGGGUUCGAGUCCUACAAGACGUG